AAAACAGGAGUCGCUUAAAUUGUACUCAAUGUCUUCAGCACCCGUGGCUGCAAAAAGACACCAAAAACAUGGAAGCCAAAAAACUUUCCAAAGAUAGGAUGAAGAAAUAUAUGGCCAGAAGAAAAUGGCAGGUAACGAAGAGGAUGUACCAGUGGGCUUGUUAUCCUAAUAAGUCUCUGUAUUUCUAAUGUUUGUGAUUCCAAGACAUAAGUCGUGCCAGGCAGUUUCUGCAAGGGAAACUCCCAUGUGGGCCGUGUGUGAAUGCAGCACAGCGGUGCGGGUGUCCGGGGGUGAGCGGGAGGAGGCAGGCUGUGCCAUGCAUGUAACGUGGCUCUGUUCCACUGCUACAGGCAGAUGAGUCCAAGCAUAGAUUUGCCUCUUCUGAGGGUCUGAUUCCUUCCUCCCUGCACUGCUGAUGGGUCUUUGUUAUCCUUAACAAACCUGAAUUCUCCCAAGCCAGUAGUUCCUGUCCUGUAGAGGCACCCAGCUUCUCGUGGGACUGUCACAUUGGUUUAAUAAUUUCAUUUAACGUGUUUUUUCUCCGUAUCUUCUUGUUUUCUUAAUGCUGGAAUUGUUAUACUCAUCUGUGCCACUCUGAUAGUUAAAGCAGCUGAGACAUAAAAUCCUGGAUCCAGCCUUUUUAGUAGCCUACAGAAUACUCAUUUAUGUUAAAUCAACCAUAGGUUCUGUCUUACGUGUUUCUUAGGAGACCAUGCAAGCUGUACAAAAACACACGUGUCCGUACUACAGGCAGUGUGGUUUGAGUGUAUUUUAGCACCCUGGUGGUAGAUUCUUGAGCCUGUCAGAGGUCUGCUUCCCUCAUGCAGAUGGUACUUUCUCAUUCGUUUCAUAUUAGCUACUUAUUCAUUCUGAUGAAACUCAGUCCAGCCCAUAAGGCUAUCGAGAAACCCGUCCACCACCAGAGCUAAGUUGCAGUUAAACAGUGCAUAGCUUUCUUGCUGCCUCCCCUCUUGCACAGCGCUUCUUAUCCUCAGCUAACAGAGACAUUCAUUUAGGUAUGAGUUCAUCAGGGGAAGUUUAUAUCUGCAACUAAAUUUGGUAAUUCAGACCAGCCUGCUCUGUCUCUCCUAAAACAUCAGAGCUAUAUAUAAGCAGUUUGUCCAACAAUUCCAGCGCGGUUUGCAGAGAUCCCAGCUAAUUUGUACGAAGCACCAUUGUCACAGAAAAUCACAUGCCUUUUGGAUUGGAUUGAUCAGAAGCCUUUUGUGUUAUGUCUUAGAAAACAGGCCAUGCUGUCCGAGCAAUAGGAAGACUGUCAUCCAUGGCAAUGAUUUCUGGUAUGAGUGGGAGGAAGGCCUCUGGGAGCUCGCCUACCAGCCCGAUAAAUGCAGACAAAGUAGAGAACGAAGAUGCCUUCCUUGAAGAAGUGGCUGAGGAAAAGCCCCAUGUAAAGCCAUACUUUACUAAAACAAUCCUUGACAUGGAGGUUGUGGAAGGAAGUGCUGCUAGGUUUGACUGCAAAAUCGAAGGUACAUUGGAUAAGCAUCAUCUCUUUCUUUCCUUCCUUCCCCGCCACCUUUCUGCAUUGUGCUGUAACGUAGCUCUUUUUUUUUUUUUAAUUGUUGUGUUGGUAUCAUUUUUCUUUACCAAUAUCUGCAUGUCACAGCAUGGAUGUGUUGCAGUAACAGAACUUUGGAGGAGCAUGGGCUUGUCCUGUGCUUGCCAUAGAGCAGCAGCCUCCUAGAGUCACUGUGUGAGUCACUAAUUCAGAGUACCGAGAGGAACAGCAUGAUGAUUUUUGAGGGUGGAAACAAUAAAAACAAGAUGCGGUGUAAUACCACGGGUUGCAAGAGUACACUCAUAAAGACUGCAAAGACUGCUUACCAGAAACUAAGAACAAAAAGGUGUCAUUGUCUGAAAUGACAGACGGGUCUCAGGUGCCCUCAAGAUGACUUUAAAUCGUGCAUGCAUUCUGGUAAAGGUAAAGAAAUCCCUAACUACAUUUGCAGAAGUAGUAAUGAUGAUAUCACUGUGCUGGUUGCAAAAGUCACGUCUAAAAAUACCGUGUGAUUUU
Molecule: unclassified non-coding RNA, 2035 nt
Filed under: Gallus gallus (chicken)
Lineage: Eukaryota; Metazoa; Chordata; Aves; Galliformes; Phasianidae
Source: RNAcentral